GACGAGCGCUGGCGGCGUGCUUAACACAUGCAAGUCGAACGGAAAGGCCCUGCUUUUGUGGGGUGCUCGAGUGGCGAACGGGUGAGUAACACGUGAGUAACCUGCCCUUGACUUUGGGAUAACUUCAGGAAACUGGGGCUAAUACCGGAUAGGAGCUCCUGCUGCAUGGUGGGGGUUGGAAAGUUUCGGCGGUUGGGGAUGGACUCGCGGCUUAUCAGCUUGUUGGUGGGGUAGUGGCUUACCAAGGCUUUGACGGGUAGCCGGCCUGAGAGGGUGACCGGCCACAUUGGGACUAAGGUACGGCCCAGACUCCUACGGGCGGCAGCAGUGGGGAAUAUUGCACAAUGGGCGGAAGCCUGAUGCAGCAACGCCGCGUGCGGGAUGACGGCCUUCGGGUUGUAAACCGCUUUCGCCUGUGACGCAGCGUGAGUGACGGUAAUGGGUAAAGAAGCACCGGCUAACUACGUG
Molecule: ribosomal RNA, 468 nt
Filed under: uncultured bacterium
Lineage: Bacteria
Description: partial 16S ribosomal RNA
Rfam family: Bacterial small subunit ribosomal RNA
Source: RNAcentral